Molecule: ribosomal RNA, 497 nt
Filed under: uncultured bacterium
Lineage: Bacteria
Description: partial 16S ribosomal RNA
Rfam family: Bacterial small subunit ribosomal RNA
Source: RNAcentral
GAUGAACGCUGGCGGCGUGCCUAAUACAUGCAAGUCGAGCGAACAGACGAGGAGCUUGCUCCUUUGACGUUAGCGGCGGACGGGUGAGUGACACGUAGGUAACCUACCUAUAAGACUGGGAUAACUUCGGGAAACCGGAGCUAAUACCGGAUAAUAUUUCGAACCGCAUGGUUCGAUAGUGAAAGAUGGCUUUGCUAUCACUUAUAGAUGGACCUGCGCCGUAUUAGCUAGUUGGUAAGGUAACGGCUUACCAAGGCAACGAUACGUAGCCGACCUGAGAGGGUGAUCGGCCACACUGGAACUGAGACACGGUCCAGACUCCUACGGGAGGCAGCAGUAGGGAAUCUUCCGCAAUGGGCGAAAGCCUGACGGAGCAACGCCGCGUGAGUGAUGAAGGUCUUCUGAUCGUAAAACUCUGUUAUUAGGGAAGAACAAACGUGUAAGUAACUGUGCACGUCUUGACGGUACCUAAUCAGAAAGCCACGGCUAACUACGUG